Molecule: long non-coding RNA, 233 nt
Filed under: Lathyrus oleraceus (garden pea)
Lineage: Eukaryota; Viridiplantae; Streptophyta; Magnoliopsida; Fabales; Fabaceae
Description: Pisum sativum (pea) long non-coding RNA (PSAT_LNC007646)
Source: RNAcentral
UGAAAGUCAACAUGAUAGGGUCGGUAUUAGGGUUCAAGUGUGCAUGAGCAGAGGUGAAGACGAGUGGUUGGCAGGUUGUGAUUGGCUACGCACGUUUUUUGUCCGUUUGUGACUUAAGUAAGGGCAUGACCAAUUGAUGAUGUGUUACAUGAUAUUUUUGUUCAUUUUAUUUAAUUGUCACGCUUCAAAAAUCAGGUUUUUAAAUGGUUUGGAUUGUGGGAUUUGGAGUUCCG